AUGGCGGCGCUGAAGUUGGAGGAAGUGAGAAGGGCACAGCAGGCGGUGGGUCUGGCGACCGUGCUGGCAAUCGGCACGGCCGUCCCGGCCAACUGCGUGUACCAGGCCACCUACCCGGACUACUAUUUCAGAGUCACCAAGAGCGAGCACCUCCCGGACCUCAAGGAGAAGUUCGAGAGGAUGUGCGAGAAGUCCACGAUCAGGAAGAGGCACAUGCACCUCACCGAAGAGAUCCUGAAAAAGAACCCUAGCAUCUGCUCCCACAUGGAGCCGUCGCUGGACACGCGCCACGACAUUGUCGUCGUGGAGGUGCCCAAACUUGGGAAAGAGGCGGCAGAGAGGGCCAUCAAGGAGUGGGGCCAGCCACUGUCGAAGAUCACCCACGUCGUCUUCUGCACCACCUCCGGCGUGGACAUGCCAGGCGCCGACUACCAGUUGACGAGGCUACUUGGCCUCUCGCCGACGGUCAAACGCCUCAUGAUGUACCAGCAAGGCUGCUUUGGCGGUGCCACGGUGCUCCGCAUGGCUAAAGACAUCGCCGAGAACAACCGCGGCGCACGUGUGUUGGUGGUCUGCUCGGAGAUUACCGCCAUGGCAUUCCGUGGCCCCUCCAAGUCCCAUUUGGAUUCGCUGGUCGGACAUGCGCUCUUUGGCGAUGGCGCGGCCGCUGCCAUCAUCGGUGCCGACCCCGACGUGCCCUUCGAGAAGCCACUCUUCCAGCUGGUAUCAGCGAGCCAGACCAUCCUGCCCGACUCCGAGGGUGCCAUCAACGGCCACCUUACGGAGGCAGGGCUCACCAUCCACCUUCUCAAGGACGUGCCCGGGCUCAUCUCCGAGAACAUCGAGCAAGCGCUCGAGGACGCCUUCAAGCCUCUGGGCAUCCACGACUGGAAUUCCAUCUUCUGGAUUGCACACCCUGGCGGGCCAGCGAUCCUGGACAUGGUUGAGGAGAAAGUUGGCCUAGACAAGGAACGCAUGCGCGCCAGCCGAGAGGUCCUGUCGGAGUACGGCAACAUGUCCAGCGCAUGUGUCCUCUUCGUCCUCGACGUGAUGCGUAAGACCUCUUCCCAGGAUGGCCACACAACCACUGGAGAGGGUAAGGAGUGGGGUGUCCUCUUCGGCUUUGGCCCCGGCCUCACCGUCGAGACGCUCGUCCUCUACAGCGUCCCGAUCACAACCACUAUAAAAGGAUCGAGUUAG
Molecule: ribosomal RNA, 1200 nt
Filed under: Triticum aestivum (bread wheat)
Lineage: Eukaryota; Viridiplantae; Streptophyta; Magnoliopsida; Poales; Poaceae
Description: partial small subunit ribosomal RNA
Source: RNAcentral